Molecule: ribosomal RNA, 253 nt
Filed under: uncultured bacterium
Lineage: Bacteria
Description: partial 16S ribosomal RNA
Rfam family: Bacterial small subunit ribosomal RNA
Source: RNAcentral
UACGAAGGGGGCUAGCGUUGUUCGGAAUCACUGGGCGUAAAGGGCGCGUAGGCGGCGCGACAAGUCAGGCGUGAAAGCCCCGGGCUCAACCCGGGAAUUGCGCUUGAUACUGUCGUGCUUGAGGCCGGGAGAGGAUGGCGGAAUUCCCAGUGUAGAGGUGAAAUUCGUAGAUAUUGGGAGGAACACCAGUGGCGAAGGCGGCUACCUGGACCGGUUCUGACGCUGAUGCGCGAAAGCGUGGGUAGCAAACAGG